Molecule: small RNA, 28 nt
Filed under: Bombyx mori (domestic silkworm)
Lineage: Eukaryota; Metazoa; Arthropoda; Insecta; Lepidoptera; Bombycidae
Description: ovarian small RNA-13424
Source: RNAcentral
CAUGAACUUCAGUAAUGCCAGGGGCAGA